Molecule: long non-coding RNA, 484 nt
Organism: Papaver somniferum (opium poppy)
Lineage: Eukaryota; Viridiplantae; Streptophyta; Magnoliopsida; Ranunculales; Papaveraceae
Exons: 3
Source: RefSeq, a predicted model, not a curated record
UUCUAAAUUUUGGAUUAACUUUAUCAAUAUCUCCUAAUUGUGCAAUUUUUGAAUUGUAUUUUUCAGAAACCUGGAGCGAUUGUUACCAAUUGCGAUAUGAGAGUAUCAGUUGUAUAAUAGCACGACUAGGAAAAGAUGAUUUAUUUGGGUCCUGGCACUCCUGAGAAGUAUGAACGUGGCGUUCGCUCAAAUAGGAUCAGGCAUAAACGCUCGUCAUCCCUAAAGUGAUAGAAUUGGAGUAGCAUAUCAGGAGGUUUUGAGCACAUUUGCCUUUGGAAGUGAUCUCACCUUGUGAUGCUAUGCUUACAUCCCAAGAUGACGAAGAUGACUCGAUAGUGGUUAGGAUGACGAAGACGACUUAGAGUGUUGCAUCUAUUAUGCCUCCAAGGUGGACGCUCAAUUUGAGCUAUGUCUCCAUAGAUCCUGCAUUGGCUGCAUAACCAGACACCUUCUCAACUGCCAAAGAUGUUUCUUUUUGCAAUGC